AGCGCGGGUCGUGACUGGCGCUGAGGUGGACAACCACCGGGGAGCGGCCUCGCGAAGAACGCGAAGAACGCAGAGUGCGUGCGUGCCGUGCGCCUGGGCGAUGACA
RNAcentral lists this non-coding RNA (106 nucleotides) under Streptomyces turgidiscabies. RNAcentral describes it as "ZTP sequence". It matches the Rfam family "ZMP/ZTP riboswitch aptamer (pfl RNA motif)". Rfam says of the family: Previously known as pfl RNA. ZMP is also known as AICAR. RNAcentral also lists the same sequence under 1 other name. Lineage: Bacteria; Bacillati; Actinomycetota; Actinomycetes; Kitasatosporales; Streptomycetaceae. The record is from RNAcentral.